AGCCGACGUAGCAAUACGAAGGCAAGUAAAGUGGCGAACGGGUGAGUAACGCGUGGGAAACCUGCUCCAGAGUGGGGGAUAACAGUUCUAACGGACUGCUAAUACCGCAUGAUGCUACGGGUCGAUGACUUCGUAGUUGAAGGAGGCCUCUGUUUCAAGCUUUCGCUCUGGAAUGGUCCCGCGUCCUAUUAGCUUGUUGGUGGGGUAACGGCCUACCAAGGCGACGAUGGGUAGCCGGCCUGAGAGGGUGGUCGGCCACACUGGGACUGAGAUACGGCCCAGACUCCUACGGGAGGCAGCAGUCGAGAGGCUUCGGCAAUGGGGGAAACCCUGACCGAGCGACGCCGCGUGGGUGAUGAAGUUUUUCGGAACGUAAAACCCUGUCAGGUGGGAUGAAAUACCAUUCGGUUAACACCCGAGUGGCUUGACAGUACCACCAGAGGAAGCUCCGGCUAACUCCGUGCCAGCAGCCGCGGUAACACGGGGGGAGCAAGCGUUGUUCGGAUUCAUUGGGCGUAAAGAGCUCGUAGGUGGCUCUGUAAGUCGGUGGUGAAAGCCCACGGCUCAACCGUGGAUACGCCUCCGAAACUGUGGAGCUUGAGGCUGGGAGAGGAAAUCGGAAUUCCUGGUGUAGCGGUGAAAUGCGUAGAUAUCAGGAGGAACACCGGUGGCGAAGGCGGAUUUCUGGACCAGUUCUGACACUGAGGAGCGAAAGCCAGGGGAGCAAACAGGAUUAGAUACCCUGGUAGUCCUGGCUGUAAACGAUGGGCACUAGGUGUGGGGGGAUCGACCCCUUCCGUGCCGCAGUUAACGCAUUAAGUGCCCCGC
RNAcentral lists this ribosomal RNA (828 nucleotides) under uncultured bacterium. RNAcentral's name for it is "bacterial SSU rRNA". It matches the Rfam family "Bacterial small subunit ribosomal RNA", at positions 60 to 872 of the family's 1533-position model. The record is from RNAcentral.